This 1411-nucleotide ribosomal RNA is filed under the name Pseudoloricaria laeviuscula. RNAcentral describes it as "partial 16S ribosomal RNA". It matches the Rfam family "Bacterial large subunit ribosomal RNA", at positions 366 to 2519 of the family's 2925-position model. The record is from RNAcentral. Lineage: Eukaryota; Metazoa; Chordata; Actinopteri; Siluriformes; Loricariidae.
GCUAAACAUCUAGCUUAAACACACAAAUCAAUACAACAACAUACAAAAAUUUAACUAAACCAAAACUACAAAAAUAAAACAUUCUCCCGCCCAAGUAUGAGUGACAGAAAAGGCCCCACAAGCUAUAAAACAGUACCGCAAGGGAAAGAUGAAAAAGAAAAUGAAACAAAUCAUUUAAGCCUAAAAAAGCAGAGACUAACCCUCGUACCUUUUGCAUCAUGAUUUAGCCAGCCACCCUGAGCAAAGAGCACUUUAGUUCACCACCCCGAAACUAGGUGAGCUACCCCGAGACAGCCUACUAAAGGGCCAACCCAUCUCUGUGGCAAAAGAGUGGGAAGAUCUCUGGGUAGAGGUGACAAAUCUACCGAACCUAGUUAUAGCUGGUUGCCUAAGAAAUGAAUAAAAGUUCAGCCUCGCACCCCUCAACUCACAAAAAGCCUAAUACUUAACACAAGAGCCAGAGAAACAUGCGAGAGUUAAUCAGAGGGGGUACAGCCCCUCUGAAAAGGGAUACAACCCUGCCAGGAGGUUAAAGAUUAUAUUAAACAAGACUACUGCCCCAGUGGGCCUAAAAGCAGCCACCUAAACAGAAAGCGUUAAAGCUCAAGCAGACAAAAAUCCAUUAUUAUAAUAACCUUAUCCUAAACCCCUAAUCAUAUUAGGCCACUCUAUGCAAACAUAGAAGUGAUACUGCUAAAAUGAGUAAUAAGAAGGGGCCCCCUUCUCCUGACACAUGUGUAAUCUAGAACGGACUACCCACUAGUUAUUAGCGAACCCACCCAAAGAGGGUAAUAUGACCAUAAUAAUAAUCAAGAAAGCCCCAUAAAAUACCAUCGUUAAUCCCACACUGGCGUGCCCAUAAGGAAAGACUAAAAGAAAAGGAAGGAACUCGGCAAACAUAAGCCUCGCCUGUUUACCAAAAACAUCGCCUCCCGCAAAAAAUAUAUGGGAGGUCUUACCUGCCCAGUGACUACAAGUUAAACGGCCGCGGUAUUUUGACCGUGCAAAGGUAGCGCAAUCACUUGUCUUUUAAAUGAAGACCCGUAUGAAUGGUGAAACGAGGGCUUAACUGUCUCCCUUUUCCAGUCAAUGAAAUUGAUCUGCCCGUGCAGAAGCGGGCCUAAUAAUACAAGACGAGAAGACCCUUUGGAGCUUAAGACAAAAACCAACUAUGUUAAUAAUCAAAAAAUUAUAAACCAAGUAGCUCUGGGCUACGUCUUCGGUUGGGGCGACCACGGGAGAAAACAAAGCUCCCAUGCGGAUGGGGUAUAGACCUAAAGCCAAGAGAGACGCCUCUAAGACACAGAACAUCUGACCAAAUUGAUCCGGCUUAUCUGCCGACCAACGAACCAAGUUACCCUAGGGAUAACAGCGCAAUCCCCUUUAAGAGUCCAUAUCGACAAGGGGGUUU